UACGUAGGGGCCGAGCGUUGUCCGGAGUUAUUGGGCGUAAAGCGCGCGCAGGCGGCCUCGCGCGCCCGACGUGAAAGCCCCCGGCUUAACCGGGGAGGGUCGUUGGGGACGGCGGGGCUUGAGGGCGGGAGAGGGCGGUGGAAUUCCCGGUGUAGUGGUGAAAUGCGUAGAGAUCGGGAGGAACACCGGUGGCGAAGGCGACAUCCUGGACCGGUAUUGACGCUGAGGCGCGAAAGCCAGGGGAGCAAACGGG
RNAcentral lists this ribosomal RNA (253 nucleotides) under uncultured bacterium. RNAcentral's name for it is "partial 16S ribosomal RNA". It matches the Rfam family "Bacterial small subunit ribosomal RNA", at positions 524 to 776 of the family's 1533-position model. The record is from RNAcentral.